CAAAAAAAGCGAAAUCCUCUCCCUCUCUACCCCCCUCACCCUCUCCUCUCUCUCCCUCCCUCUGAGCUGCUGCUUCCGGUACUGCCUGUUGCAGCAAGACCAGCAGCGGACGAGAUCGAUCGAGUUGGCUUUCGUGUCCAAUCCAACUAUUCUGUUUGGUUGGUGGGAAAAUCCCUACUCCCUGUUCAUCCCCAAACCUUUAAAUCCACGCUUUCAAGAAAAUUUUGUUUUCUAAUCAUCUGACGCCACGCUGGCGUCCGCAUGACGUCAUACGGGCCGGUCCAUGGCUCUGUCGAUUUUAGGCUGGCCUGGAGACCAACUUGGGCUGGGUGCCAGCCUAUCUGCUGGGCUAGAGUGGAAUGGCUAGGUGCCGGGCCAAUAAUUUGGCUGGGUGCCGGCCUAUUUGUUCUCCGGUGGAAGUGCUCUGAGUUGAUACAUGCAAGUGCUUUAUGAUAAUAAUCUAAUAAAAAAACAACACAAAAAAUUCUAAUAACUAACAGACUCCAAUCUGUAUGUAUAACAGUGAAUGUGCAGUUGAUAAAGUUACGCUGACAAAUGAAAGCAAAAGUGGAGAAUUCCACUCAAAGAUUUCUAAGAGAUUGGAGCAAGUUGGAUCUCAAAUGUGUCAGCCAUCAUUGAUAGGAGCAAAAUAUCUCUCAUCUGGAACCAAAGGGAUUGAUACCAUGCGUCUACGUUAUGCAAUUGAGCAAGGGGGUUACUAAUGCCAAUGACUGCACAAAUUGGAAGCAAAUUGCCUGAGACUCCUGCGUUAGUUGAUAAAGAAACAAAAGCCAAACAUGUCAAAUCGGGAAGGUGAUGUUAAAAUCCAAGUAGUAUCAGCUGAUGACUUGAGGCAACAUCUUCCAGUAACCUUAUUGUUUUAAAUAAACAGAUUUGUAAAGUUUUUACUCUGACAUCAUAUUAUUUUGAAUCGCUUAAGAAAAAAGAUGACGUCAUUUUAGUUCAUAGAAAAUACAAUAAAGCUACUGACGAUGCUAAACAGCAGUGUCCUGUCCUUUGUAAUCAUCAACAGAGAGGAUUUCAAUUCUGACAGUGUACCCAGGAAGGCCAAACUGGUUGGGGAUUCACGGCUGUCUGAAAAAGAAGUAACAGAAAGGGAACCUGUCCUGGGAAGUGGAACGAGAAAAAGUCUUCAUGAUCUCAGGCAUGUGGAGAUUUCUAGCAGUCAAGCAAAUCCUUCCAGCUUAAUCGAGAAGACUAUUAAACCUAGUGCACAGACAUGAGACGUGUAAAUCCUAAAUCCAUGCUUUCAAGCCUGGAGUCUGUGAGGAACUCAAAGAUCAUUACAAUGGAAGGGAGUAAGCUUUGUCCUGAUAAACCUACCAAGAAGAAAACCAAGCUUUCUACCUUGAACAUUUCAAAGAAUAUUGGUGGCAGUAAAGUUUCAUCGAAUGCUUCCAGAAAGACCUGCGGAAAUUUCAAAGAACCUUCAAAAGUUGUUGUUUCAGUGCAGGUUUGCAUUCAUGAGAGUCAUGUGGGGAGCAAGUCUAACAGCACUUUUGACGACCAUACGACCUCUGGACUUGGUAGUCCUUGCGCGAUCUAUGUGAUGGAACUUGAUAUUCCUUCAGUAACGGAAAACAAUGGAAUUGUUGAAGAGGCUGAAGCGUACGCUAUGGACAAGGAGCUUGAAGAUGUUGACUCAAUUAUAAAUGAGUAACAAUAUCUUCGCCUUGCAACGGGCCAUUUAAAGGAGUCUCUUGAUGAAAUUGUUGAAGAACUUCAAAGACAGGAGGGCACUAAAUGCCUCUGCUUCUCCUUCCCAGGCUUUGCCUUGUUGGCUGUUGAUUCAAUGGUCACCGGCCCUGAACAGUAUCAAAUAUCUCAGUUGUGAACAACUCGUUGCAGACCAAAAUAUGUCGCUGUGGGGAUCUAUAUGAAUCCUUUCUCUUGAUUGAAGAUAAAGAGGAGCCAUAAUCGUGUUGUAAGAGCCUGCAAAGAUUUCAACAAGCAUCAAAAGUGCCGUAGAGGGUAUUCAUGCUAUGUUUGCACCGGCCCUGGAGAAGCACAUCUGGUAUAUUAUAAUGUUGAAAAGAAUGGUGCAACAUCCCAUGGUUCUACAGAGUUGAGCUUGGGUUUGCAUGUCAUGGGUUCCGGAGCACCCGUUGCAAUGUUGGAGCUAGCUUAUAAAUUUUUGGGUAGACGAGAUGGAGUCUUGCGUAAUGCCCGUCUACGUCAUUAUGGAAUAAAAGGGUCAGCUUGCAGGUCGGUGAGGAGGAAGCCAUAGAGGCGGUGUGUGCAGCCCUACACCUUGCAGGUCUUAAGAGCAUGAAAACUGGACCACCGUACGAGGUGCAUGUGUUCCGUAGAGGGGUACAAAAUUACUAAUGGGCUGUGCUAUUAACAGACGUUUGUUGGAAGUAGUGGGAUAUAACAAAGAAGUUGGUAUGUGGAAAGAGAAAUAUGGCAGUGCUUUAUUCGAAGGCGUUACUCAAGAGAGAACCUUUGGAAAAUGACCAUAACAAAGUAUCCUUUUGUAGAUGUUCAUAGGCACGGACACCCUCUCGCUCUUCUGGAAGGAGGAUACGUCCUACAUGUGGUUAAACUUAGGAGUGCUGGUAGCAUCGAGAAAAAGAUGCAACAUGCGGCGAUGUCUAGUGUAACUAUACUUGCGGAGUUUGUGGUGGAAAAUUCAGAACUUAGCCGAUCUCCCUUCUUUUUGGAUUAGUGAUUUGAUUCUUUUAGGCACUCCAACAAAUUGUCUCCAGCCCUCCUGAUAUAAACAUUCGACGUCACUUUUCUCUUGUCCAUCGCAUUUCAAUUUGCGGAAUUUGUGGUGGAAAAUUCAUAUUACAUUGAAAUGCAAGUUUUUGGAUUGAGUUUCACAAAGACGAUGGACAAGAGGAAAGUGACGUCGAAUGUUUAUAUCAAGAAGGCUGGAGACAAUUUGUUGGAGUGCCUAAAAGAAUCUAAUCACUAAUCCAAAAAAAAGGGAGAUCGAUUAUGUUCUGAAUUUUCCACCAUAAACUCCGGAAGUACAGUUACACUUGAUGUCGCCGCAUGUUACAUUGUUUUCUCGAUGCUACCAGCACUCCCAAGUUUAACCACAUGUAUGACGUAUCCUCCUUCCAGAAGCACAAGAGGGUGUCUGUGCCUACGAACAUCUACAAAAUGGUACUUUGUUGUGAUCAUUUUCCAAAGGUUUUCUCUGAGUAACGCCUUCGAAUAAAACAUUGCCAUAUUUCUUUUUCCAUACCAACUUCUUUGUUAUAUCCCACUGCUUCCAACAAACGUCUGUUAAUAGCAGAGUCUGUUCGUAAUUUAGUCCUCCUCUACGGAACACAUGCACCUCGUACGGUGGCUCAGUUUUCAUGCUCUUAAGACCUGCAAGGUAUAGGGCUCCACAUGCCGCCUCUAUGGCUUUCUCUUCACUGACCUGCAAGGUAUAUGUAGUUAUAUAAUUUUAUAGUGUUAUUUCAAUGGAUAAAUCUACAGACUUUAUGUGGGAUAUAUAGAUUUUUGAAAAUAGUUUUGAAUUCCAGUCAGGUUCCUUUCUCCAUAUACCAUCUAUGCUUCAGCAAGAGAGCUACUACGAGCAGUUGAAUGAGGCGCUUGGCGGUACAGAUCAUUCGUACAUUGUGGAUUAUUCUUCUUGAGCAAUUUUAUAUAUUUGUUUCCUUUUGGUAAAGAUUAAUUGGAUUACAAUUGCCAUUCAAAAAAUUAGGUGUAUAGAAGAAAGGUAGUAUCAUGCCCUGGAAAAUUGUAACUUGAUCUGAUUGCACGUAAGUUAAUUUGAAAAUCUCAUGAUUUGGCGUUAUAUAAGAUGAUAUUUUCUCUCUGACA
Molecule: RNA transcript, 3804 nt
Organism: Pyrus x bretschneideri (Chinese white pear)
Lineage: Eukaryota; Viridiplantae; Streptophyta; Magnoliopsida; Rosales; Rosaceae
Exons: 8
Source: RefSeq, a predicted model, not a curated record